This 410-nucleotide ribosomal RNA is filed under the name uncultured Methylomirabilota bacterium. Its description in RNAcentral is "bacterial SSU rRNA". It matches the Rfam family "Bacterial small subunit ribosomal RNA", at positions 1025 to 1434 of the family's 1533-position model. Lineage: Bacteria; Methylomirabilota (SeqCode). The record is from RNAcentral.
AGCGUGGAGACAGGUGGUGCAUGGCUGUCGUCAGCUCGUGUCGUGAGAUGUUGGGUUAGGUCCCGCAACGAGCGCAACCCUCACCUCUUGUUGCCAUCAGGUCAUGCUGGGCACUCUAGAGGAACUGCCCCGGUCAACGGGGAGGAAGGCGGGGAUGACGUCAAGUCAUCAUGCCCCUUACGUCCUGGGCUACACACGUGCUACAAUGGCCGGUACAAAGGGAUGCCACACCGCGAGGUAGAGCUAAACCCAAAAAGCCGGUCUAAGUUCAGAUUGGAGUCUGCAACUCGACUCCAUGAAGGAGGAAUCGCUAGUAAUCGCGUAUCAGCACGACGCGGUGAAUACGUUCCCGGGCCUUGUACACACCGCCCGUCACACCACGAAAGCCUGCUGUACUCGAAGUCGCUGAG